This 253-nucleotide ribosomal RNA is filed under the name uncultured bacterium. Its description in RNAcentral is "partial 16S ribosomal RNA". It matches the Rfam family "Bacterial small subunit ribosomal RNA", at positions 524 to 776 of the family's 1533-position model. The record is from RNAcentral.
UACGUAGGGGGCAAGCGUUGUCCGGAUUCAUUGGGCGUAAAGAGCGUGUAGGCGGCCAGGUAGGUCGGUUGUGAAAACUGGAGGCUCAACCUUCAGACGUCGACCGAAACCAUCUGGCUAGAGUCCGGGAGAGGAGAGUGGAAUUCCCAGUGUAGCGGUGAAAUGCGCAGAUAUCAGGAGGAACACCGAUGGCGAAGGCAGGUCUCUGGGCCACUACUGACGCUGAGAAGCGAAAGCAUGGGGAGCGAACAGG